GUUGUAUGGUCAAGUAAUGAAGUGCACAUGGUGGAUGCCUUGGCAGUCAGAGGCGAUGAAAGACGUGAUAGCCUGCGAUAAGCGUCGGUGAGGUGGCAAUAUCCUGUGACCCGGCGAUUUCUGAAUGGGGAAACCCACCUAAGAUAACUUAGGUAUCAUAAUGUAUUUUAUGAGGCGAACCGGGAGAAGUGAAACAUCUCAGUACCCCGAGGAAAAGACAUCAAUUGAGAUUCCCUAAGUAGCGGCGAGCGAACGGGGAGUAGCCGAUCAAUUUUACAGUAGCAAAAUGGCGUGGGAAAGCCAACCGUAGUAGGUGAUAGUCCUGUAUGCGAAACUGUUUAAGCGACAUAUUAAGUAGGGCGAGACACGUGAAAUCUUGUCUGAAGAUGGGGGGACCAUCCUCCAAGGCUAAAUACUCCUGACUGACCGAUAGUGAACCAGUACCGUGAGGGAAAGGCGAAAAGAACCCCUGUUAGGGGAGUGAAAUAGAACCUGAAACCGUGUGCAUACAAGCAGUGGGAGCGGAUUUAUUCCGUGACCGCGUACCUUUUGUAUAAUGGGUCAGCGACUUAUAUUCUGUAGCAAGCUUAACCGUGUAGGGGAGGCGUAGGGAAACCGAGUCUUAAUAGGGCGAUUAAGUUGCAGGGUAUAGACCCGAAACCGAGUGAUCUAUCCAUGAGCAGGUUGAAAGUGCCGUAACAGGCACCGGAGGACCGAACCCACUGUCGUUGAAAAGCCAGGGGAUGACUUGUGGAUAGGGGUGAAAGGCUAAUCAAACUCGGUGAUAGCUGGUUCUCCCCGAAAGCUAUUUAGGUAGCGCCUCGGACGAAUACCAUUGGGGGUAGAGCACUGUUUCGGCUAGGGGGUCAUCCCGACUUACCAAACCGAUGCAAACUCCGAAUACCGAUGAGUACUAUCCGGGAGACAGACGGCGGGUGCUAACGUCCGUCGUCAAGAGGGAAACAACCCAGACCGCCAGCUAAGGCCCCAAAUUCCUAGUUAAGUGGGAAACGAUGUGGGAAGGCAUAGACAGCUAGGAGGUUGGCUUAGAAGCAGCCACCCUUUAAAGAAAGCGUAAUAGCUCACUAGUCGAGUCGGCCUGCGCGGAAGAUGUAACGGGGCUCAAACUAGGAGCCGAAGCUGCGGAUUUAAUUGUUUCAAUUAAGUGGUAGGGGAGCGUUGUGUAAGCCUGUGAAGGUGUGCUGUAAGGCAUGCUGGAGGUAUCACAAGAGCGAAUGCUGACGUGAGUAACGACAAAACGGGUGAAAAGCCCGUUCGCCGGAAGACCAAGGGUUCCAGUCCAACGUUAAUCGGGGCUGGGUGAGUCGACCCCUAAGGCGAGGCCGAAAGGCGUAGUCGAUGGGAAAUCGGUUAAUAUUCCGAUACUUGUUUAUGAUGCGAUGGAGGGACGGAGAAGGUUAUGUCAGCCUGGCGUUGGUUGUCCAGGUGGAAGGAUGUAGGUAGGUUUAGUAGGCAAAUCCGCUAAACUAUUACUGAGAUCUGAUAGCAAGCUGUACAUGUACAGCGAAGUGGCAAAUACCAUGCUUCCAGGAAAAGCUUCUAAGCGAUAGUCUUAAACAAAUCGUACCCGAAACCGACACAGGUGGUCAGGUAGAGAAUACCAAGGCGCUUGAGAGAACUCUGCUGAAGGAACUAGGCAAAAUGGUACCGUAACUUCGGGAGAAGGUACGCUGCCGAUGGUGAUUAAACUUGCUUUAUGAGCUGUUGGCAGUCGCAGAUACCAGGCUGCUGCAACUGUUUAUUAAAAACACAGCACUCUGCAAACACGAAAGUGGACGUAUAGGGUGUGAUGCCUGCCCGGUGCUGGAAGGUUAAUUGAUGGGGUUAGCGUAUGCGAAGCUCUUGAUCGAAGCCCCAGUAAACGGCGGCCGUAACUAUAACGGUCCUAAGGUAGCGAAAUUCCUUGUCGGGUAAGUUCCGACCUGCACGAAUGGCAUAAUGAUGGCAGCGCUGUCUCCAGCAGAGACUCAGUGAAAUCGAAAUCGCAGUGAAGAUGCUGUGUACCCGCGGCUAGACGGAAAGACCCCGUGAACCUUUACUACAGCUUUACAUUGAACUUUGACCUAACUUGUGUAG
This 2097-nucleotide ribosomal RNA is filed under the name Moraxella sp. VT-16-12. RNAcentral's name for it is "bacterial LSU rRNA". It matches the Rfam family "Bacterial large subunit ribosomal RNA", at positions 1 to 2141 of the family's 2925-position model. The record is from RNAcentral. Lineage: Bacteria; Pseudomonadati; Pseudomonadota; Gammaproteobacteria; Moraxellales; Moraxellaceae.